GGCUCGUCGCGGCGUGCUUACACAUGCAAGUCGAACCGAUGAACCCGCUGUUCGGGCGGGGAUUAGUGGCGAACGGGUGAGUAACACGUGGGCAAUCUGCCCUGCACUCUGGGACAAGCCCUGGAAACGGGGUCUAAUACCGGAUAUGACUGUCCGCCGCAUGGUGGAUGGUGUAAAGCUCCGGCGGUGCAGGAUGAGCCCGCGGCCUAUCAGCUUGUUGGUGAGGUAGUGGCUCACCAAGGCGACGACGGGUAGCCGGCCUGAGAGGGCGACCGGCCAUACCCUGGGACUGAGUCCACGGCCCAGACUCCUACGGUGAGGCAGCUAGGUGUGGGCAAUAUUGCACGUUGUCCGUGCCGACAGCCUAACGCAUUCAGUGACGCCGCGUGAGGGAUGUACGGCCUUCAGGGUUGUAAACCUCUUUCAGCAGGGAAUUGAAGCGAGAGUGCCGGUACAAGCUGCAGAAGAAGCAUGCUGGCUUAACUUCGUGCCAGCAGCCGCGGUAGAUACCUUAGGGCGCAAGGCGUUGACAUACACCGGAAUUACGUCUGGGCGUAAAGAGCUCGUAGGCGCCCGCUUGUCAGGUCGGUUGUGACAGCCCGUGGUGCUUAACCCCUGGUCUGUCAGUCAGCUACGUGUCAGUGCUAGAUGUUGGGUUAAGUGCCGCAACGAUCGGAAUUCCUGGUGUAGCGGUGAAUUGCGCAGAUAUCAGGAGGAACACCUUGUGGUGCUGG
Molecule: ribosomal RNA, 734 nt
Filed under: Streptomyces sp.
Lineage: Bacteria; Bacillati; Actinomycetota; Actinomycetes; Kitasatosporales; Streptomycetaceae
Description: bacterial SSU rRNA
Rfam family: Bacterial small subunit ribosomal RNA
Source: RNAcentral